UACAGAGGUCCCAAGCGUUGUUCGGAUUCACUGGGCGUAAAGGGUGCGUAGGUGGCCAGGUAAGUUCGGUGUGAAAGCUCGGAGCUUAACUCCGAAAUGGCAUUGAAUACUAUCUGGCUAGAGGGUCGGAGGGGAGACUGGAAUUCUCGGUGUAGCAGUGAAAUGCGUAGAUAUCGAGAGGAACACCAGUGGCGAAGGCGAGUCUCUGAACGACACCUGACACUGAGGCACGAAAGCCAGGGGAGCAAACAGG
This 253-nucleotide ribosomal RNA is filed under the name uncultured bacterium. Its description in RNAcentral is "partial 16S ribosomal RNA". It matches the Rfam family "Bacterial small subunit ribosomal RNA", at positions 524 to 776 of the family's 1533-position model. The record is from RNAcentral.